UACGUAGGGUGCAAGCGUUAAUCGGAAUUACUGGGCGUAUAGCGUGCGCAGGCGGUUUUGUAAGUCUGUCGUGAAAUCCCCGGGCUCAACCUGGGAAUUGCGAUGGAGACUGCAAGGCUAGAAUCUGGCAGAGGGGGGUAUAAUUCCACGUGUAGCAGUGAAAUGCGUAGAGAUGUGGAGGAACACCGAUGGCGAAGGCAGCCCCCUGGGUCAAGAUUGACGCUCAUGCACGAAAGCGUGGGGAGCAAACAGG
This 253-nucleotide ribosomal RNA is filed under the name uncultured bacterium. RNAcentral describes it as "partial 16S ribosomal RNA". It matches the Rfam family "Bacterial small subunit ribosomal RNA", at positions 524 to 776 of the family's 1533-position model. The record is from RNAcentral.